RNAcentral lists this non-coding RNA (105 nucleotides) under Ctenophora environmental sample. Lineage: Eukaryota; Metazoa; Ctenophora. The record is from RNAcentral.
AAAGGAAAAAAAAAAAGGAAGAGAAGGCCACACAUUGUAAAAUAUUCACUAUCAUUUCGUGGCUAUCAUUAAAUUUAAAAUAGUUUUUCAGAACUCUGUGGUUUU